UAAAAUAUAGUUUAUAAAAAACAUUUGACUUGCAUUCAAAAAAUAUUAAUAAUUUAAUUAUUCUAG
Molecule: transfer RNA, 66 nt
Filed under: Bradysia impatiens
Lineage: Eukaryota; Metazoa; Arthropoda; Insecta; Diptera; Sciaridae
Description: tRNA-Ala
Source: RNAcentral